GGGGGACACAGAUUUUUUUUGUAAGGAGAGGGGGCUGGGGCUCGCCGCCUCGCGGCGGAGGCGGCCGGCGGCAACGACGGCAGCAGCUGGUGGAGGACCACGACGGCAGCUUCUAGUAGAGCGGUAGCUGGUGCUUCGAUAACCUGAGCUCCGUUCCUCUUCGACUCCUCCCUCGCGGCGCAGACGUCGACGGGCGGCAACUCAUCUCCCAGCUGGCGGCAGAGAUGGACGGGCAGCAGCUGGUGGAGGAGCGGCCUAGCGGAGGCAGCUGGUCUCUGCCGGUGUUUAGACCUCCUGCGCCCCCUACCUCGGCCAGGCCUGCGCGGACGUGGACGUGCGCUCGACAACGAUGGCCCGUUCUAGUUAAGUAGAAGGUUCACUUCACACUGACGAAUCCUCGUUGCUUCCAGAACGCUACGUCUCUAGAACUUUAACGACCCGUUGUACGUUUAACGGUGACGGUUGCGUCGAGAGAAGUUCCUCUUCUUCCCGUUGGUGUGCCGUUCGUAACAUUUUCGUUAGAGUUUAACUGUUUUUUUUUUUUCCUCUUCUUCCCGUUCGAAACCCUAUCUCUUGUAUUUUGACUUCCAACAAUUGGACUUACCACUGAGGUGCCACGAUCCUCGUAACGUUUGACUUCAGUCACGGAAUCUCUCUGUGUGGGACAGUGACCGGUUCCUAACGAACGGAAGCUUGUUUGAUUUCUUUCUCUCACGUCGGGUCCUGUUGUCCGCUGAGUAGGUGAAUCGCGGAGACGAUUCGCAGCUUCUUUGAGGUCGGCCCCUCGUUGCCGAGCUGGUGGUUACUGCUUCAUGUGUUCGAGGACCACCAGCAGGGCCCACGAGAACUUCUUGAGGUCACCCCUAUAGUUACACCCGAGCAUAGGGGUCGUCUUUUGAUCGGGCCGAAAGAAGACGGUCCACGGUUCUUGACGAGGUUCCAGAAGAGGGUAAUGGGAGGACACCAGGAGCAUACAGUCGAGGGUACGGUCACCCAGCGGGAGCGGCGACGAGGACCGUAAGACUAUUUCGCGUCGAGGGGCAGGGAGCUUGGUAUAGUAGUCGAACCACCCUACACUGGAGGUACGGGGCUUCUGGGAAGGGACCGUCCCUCGUCGUUGCUGUCUCUAGAAGAGGGUAGGAACUAGUUCGAAGUCGACGGUGUCAUGUUGUAGCCACAACCACAGCCGGGCGCUGCGCUGUGUCUACCUUGGGCUGUCGACGUACUCGGGGCUCACCUCUCGGAGUCCCCCCUCCAGGUGGAACUACGAGCAGAGGAGGACCUCCAACUUUUGAUAGUUGGCGGCCUAGGCCAACAGCACGGGCGGUCGGAGGUUGUACAUCUGGUCCAACAGAUCCGUUUAUCUUCCUAGUUCGAGACGCUAUAACAGCCUCCCUUCCUACGAGGCACCGACCCACGAACCCACUGGCGGCUCCGAGAACUGGUAAUAUCUGGGCAAGACGUCGUAGUUCUAGAACUUCAAGAACCGUCUAAACGUUAUCGGCUUGGGUGUCUUGGACACGGACCUUAGCUUAAGGUAUUUCUGAUCGUAGUGUAGUUAGAAAUUUCGUCCCAACUUCUACUGCGUCGGCGAUUUGGAAAACCACUGCUCUAAACUUUGGACCUCUCGCUAGUUAGGUAACCGUCAAGGUUUCAUCGACAUUGGCUUGAACCGCGACUCGGGUACCGUCUUUGAUCUCCUACCUCAGAGCAGUGCCUUCCACUUUAAGACUGCUAGGGGGUACUACUACCCUAGCUACGUCAUCCGGUACACGUGCAGCGAGCGGACACCAACCGCUCUAAACUAGGUUUUCCUCCUUGGGCUACGUCGCCGGUAGUCCAAGAACCUACGCGAACGCAUCGCCUUCUACAGAGCGCUCCCCUCUGCUCGCUUGUCGAGGUCAUGCUCUAGGACCCUCUCGAGGAGGAGGCUAGGGAGGAGGAGGCUAGAGAAAGAGAAGAAGGAGGGCCGGAGGAGGACCUGUCCACCGAAGAAGGGACUUAGGUACCGCUUUGACCGCUUUGGAUCGCCAACAGUCGAGACUGCUCUAUGCUUAGGGGGACGCGCCGACGCGGAGCACAUAAAUAUUCCUUAGCGUCGGUGCCUUUUCCAAAAGGAAAGAAAACAAAUCAUAUCCCUUAGUCUUUUCUUUUUUCAAGCCCCUAUGAUCGGCAUCCUGAUGGAUAAGAAAAGGGAGGUAACGUGACGAAGGAAUGGUAUAUGGGGCAAGGAUU
This 2235-nucleotide ribosomal RNA is filed under the name Triticum aestivum (bread wheat). RNAcentral describes it as "partial small subunit ribosomal RNA". Lineage: Eukaryota; Viridiplantae; Streptophyta; Magnoliopsida; Poales; Poaceae. The record is from RNAcentral.